ACCAACCUUUCUUCUUCUUCUUCCUCGCACGACAACACCACCCCCCUCCCUUCGAUUUUCUUUCUUCUUUCCUCCCAGGCGCACGCCGCCUCCGUUCACUGUCCAAUCCCGCGAACGCCGCGACUCCCUUCACUGCCUCAUCAGAUCGCCGCCGUGCCUUAUUCGUUGCUCAGAUUCGAAGUCAUCGCCGCUCGUCCAACCGAUUUCUCCUCCAUUCGCGACCGCGUUGCCCAGCUGAGGGCGUCGUUUUUGUUCGUCUACUGCCGCUUUGCCGGAAACCCAUCGUUUCAAGCCUUCAGCCUAGCUCGUCGUUUGUUCGAUCCGUCCAGCCGCCGCUCCCUCGCGCCUCAUAGGCCCAGACCCGAUCAACUACCGCCUCUUCACGUUUCGCCAGACCCAGAUCCGUCGUCGGUCGUUUACCUUGUCGCCAUCGGAUCUGUUCUAGGUGAGUUUUAGCAAAGCUUGGACUUAGAGGGAGCGUCGUCAAGGGAGGUUGGAAGUGAUCUUCAUCCUUUGGAAUUAGGAUCGCUACUUCGAGUUGUUGCCAUAGUUUGGCCGUCUGAUUUUUGUUAUCCGUAGAGUUUCGUUUGAGGUAAGGUUAGAGAUGCACUGGCGAUCGCACAACGGAGUUCGUGAUCGUGCCACUGGGACUAGUUUUUACGCUUCCGCAUCAUGAAAUUUAGAGUCCUUAUUUUUCCCUUAAUGUUUAGUUUUACUGUUUGAAUCUUCUUAUUAAGGAUUGUUUUUUUUAUAUAUUUUUAAUAGUCUUUACGAAUUAUGGGUACCUUAUUAUUGUUUUAAUAAUUGUAUUUAAUAAAUGGCUUUUAAACUUCUCUUGUC
This is a long non-coding RNA of Benincasa hispida (wax gourd), 840 nucleotides long. RefSeq lists it as uncharacterized. NCBI's taxonomy places the organism in Eukaryota, Viridiplantae, Streptophyta, Magnoliopsida, Cucurbitales, Cucurbitaceae. The record is from RefSeq and is a predicted model, not a curated record.